GACAGAGGCCUCAAGCGUUAGGCGGAAUCACUGGGCUUAAAGCGUGUGUAGGCGGAUCGUUAAGUGCCUUGUGAAAUCCCACGGCUUAACUGUGGAACGGCUGGGCAUACUGGCGGUCUUGAGCCAUCUAGGGGCGACUGGAACAAACGGUGGAGCGGUGAAAUGCGUAGAUAUCACUUGGAACGCCAAUGGUGAAGACAGCUCGCUGGGGGUGUCCUGACGCUGAGGCGCGAAAGCCAGGGGAGCGAACGGG
RNAcentral lists this ribosomal RNA (253 nucleotides) under uncultured bacterium. RNAcentral's name for it is "partial 16S ribosomal RNA". It matches the Rfam family "Bacterial small subunit ribosomal RNA", at positions 524 to 776 of the family's 1533-position model. The record is from RNAcentral.